UCUUGCUUUAGGAAGCGGAAGACUAAUGACCGAAGCUUCAAGACUUUGACAUGUGUGAAAACAUGAAAUGACCCUUGGCUCUUAUUGUUCUUGCUGGUGUGGUAUGUUCACGGCUGAAAAGAUGGUCAGAAGGGGAAAGGAGGAAGUGAGAAGAAAGAAACAGGGAAAUGGCUGGAGUGCGAUGGCAUGAUCUUGGCUCACGGCAAACUCCGCCUCCCUGGUUCAAGUGAUUCUCCUGCCUCAGCCUCCCGAGUAGCCGGGAUUACAGGCAUGUGCCACCAUGCCCCGUUGGCCAGGCUGGUCUCGAACACCUUACCUCAGGUGAUCCUCCCACCUUUGGGAUUACAGGAACUGACUCAGCGCAAGAAGACAGCUUCGACUCCUUGUGAUUUCAUCCCUAACCAAUCAGCACUCCUGGCUCACUGGCUUCCCCCAACCCACCAAAUUGUCCUUAAAAACUCUGCUCUCCAAACGCUGGGGGAGACUGAUUUGAGUAAUAAUAAAACCCUGGUCUCCUGCA
This is a long non-coding RNA of Homo sapiens (human), 520 nucleotides long. Ensembl annotates it as PCED1B antisense RNA 1. Its record names the gene PCED1B-AS1. The record is from Ensembl. NCBI's taxonomy places the organism in Eukaryota, Metazoa, Chordata, Mammalia, Primates, Hominidae.